UACAGGGGGGGCAAGCGUUGUUCGGAAUUACUGGGCGUAAAGGGUGCGUAGGUGGUUUUGUAAGUUAGAUGUGAAAUUCCUGGGCUUAACCUGGGGACUGCGUCUGAUACUGCGAAGCUAGAGUACUGUAGAGGAAAGUGGAAUUUCCGGUGUAGCAGUGAAAUGCGUAGAUAUCGGAAGGAACAUCAGUGGCGAAGGCGACUUUCUGGACAGAUACUGACACUGAGGCACGAAAGCGUGGGGAGCAAACAGG
This 253-nucleotide ribosomal RNA is filed under the name uncultured bacterium. Its description in RNAcentral is "partial 16S ribosomal RNA". It matches the Rfam family "Bacterial small subunit ribosomal RNA", at positions 524 to 776 of the family's 1533-position model. The record is from RNAcentral.